ACCUUUGGCCAUCAAGGGAAACUAGAAUUAAGAACCCAGUGUUAGAAGCAGUGAGUUGCAUCCCACUGUGUGACCAUCACCUACUCCCCCUCCUUCUCUGGACCUCAUAUUCCCAUGUAUAUGAUGAUGUGCAGGGUGUUGCCUCUGUUCUAGUUGGAGAUCUUGGUGAAGGGCUGAGUGGUCAGGAUGUCCUGUGGGAGCAGUGGGAGUCUGAAGCUGCACAGCUGGACUGUCUGGCCUCACUGUCCUCAGCUCCAGCCCAGAGUCACCACCCACAUGAAAGCCUCGGGCCCUCAGAUGGGGAAAGGAGCCAGAGGGUAGAGUCCAGCUGUGCCACAGAGCUGCUGUGGGAGGCAGGCCGUGGUUGGGACCAGCUAGUGGGACUACCAAGGAAGCCCAGGAGGCCGCCAGGUGUGUGGGGCUGGAAUUGGAAUUUUAAGAGCCUCAAGAAAUGGAAACUGUCGUCCCAAAUAAGAUGAUUGAGUGGAAUUGGAAGAGGGAUAUAAGAAGACACAGCCUUGGGGAACACAGAGUCUGGGCUGGGUAGAGAAGCAGCCCAGGGAAGUGCCUGAGAGGAAGACCAAGGAAGAUGUGAUGAAAACCAGUCUGCAAUAUGAAGAAGACACGGUGCAUGUAGAAGAAGCUAUGUUGGAGUUCAAGCACUUAAGGUUAUCACCAUUGACCACCCCUGACUUUGUGACCUUUGACACUAGCAUCUCUCUCCUUUGGAAGAUAAACAACAUGAAUGAGUUUGCCUGUUUUUGAACUUGCUAUACAUCGGAUCAUACAGUGUAUAUUCUUUUCUUUGCCUUCAUUAAAUUUAGCAUCAAUUG
Molecule: long non-coding RNA, 833 nt
Organism: Cervus elaphus (red deer)
Lineage: Eukaryota; Metazoa; Chordata; Mammalia; Artiodactyla; Cervidae
Exons: 3
Source: RefSeq, a predicted model, not a curated record